RNAcentral lists this ribosomal RNA (253 nucleotides) under uncultured bacterium. RNAcentral describes it as "partial 16S ribosomal RNA". It matches the Rfam family "Bacterial small subunit ribosomal RNA", at positions 524 to 776 of the family's 1533-position model. The record is from RNAcentral.
UACGUAGGGUGCGAGCGUUAAUCGGAAUUACUGGGCGUAAAGCGUGUGUAGGUGGCCGCGCAAGUCGGAUGUGAAAGCCCUGGGCUCAACUCAGGAAGUGCACCCGAUACUGCGUGGCUCGAGUACCGGAGAGGUUGGUGGAAUUCUCGGUGUAGAGGUGAAAUUCGUAGAUAUCGAGAGGAACACCUGUGGCGAAGGCGGCCAACUGGACGAGUACUGACACUGAGACACGAAAGCGUGGGGAGCAAACAGG